This is a long non-coding RNA of Octopus bimaculoides (California two-spot octopus), 3685 nucleotides long. Lineage: Eukaryota; Metazoa; Mollusca; Cephalopoda; Octopoda; Octopodidae. The record is from RefSeq and is a predicted model, not a curated record.
UGUCUCAGUAAGAAAGGAGUUAGCCUAAUGGGCGUUCCAGUUUCAAAGUAGGAUUGGCAUUGUUAGUUGACCUUGAAAACGUAACGCUGUAAAAAUCUAUACUGCAAGCACAAAUACAACUCCGAGAGGAAGCUGCUGUUCCUAAUUUUUUGAAACAAGAUUUUCUUCUACGUUAUCCAAUACUUAUCUUAACAACAAGAGAGAAAGAGAGAGUGAUGAAGCAUGGACCAGAAAAACUUCUGGAGCUGAUAUACUGAACUGUAAACUCUUGAAAUCCUUAAAUUCCUUUUAUGAUUUCAAUCUUUUCACUGUAACCAUAUUGUGGAACUGUCUUCAAGGUCAUUUUUUUUUUUCGUCGAUUACAUAUUUAGUCAACUACUUUUUGUAUGAUUGAAAAUUAUCUAUUGAUUUAUUGAAUGACUAAGUCUUCCUUGGCAUAGAAGACAUAUAAUGAUAUGACAAGGUAAUUUUAUUUGACUUAUUGAUUUGUACCAAUAUGUACUUACAUAUGCCCGUGCACGUACUUAAACACACACAUGCACCUCUUAAAACAUGCCAAGUUUUAAGUAAACGAAUUUAAAACACUAUACUCAUGUCAUGUCUUGAGUAGAAAAUUUGAAAGAAGUCUUCUUCGACUAAACCAAAUUCAAAGAAGAUAAUACAAAAUUUUAUAUAGGCACAAAGAAGAGCAGCUCCAUCUAACAUUACUUUACCAGAAACAGUAUAAAUAAGAAACACAAACACGCUGAAAGACAAUGCUCCAACAUGGCCUCAGCCCCUGGCUGAAACCAGUAAAAGAUUAAAAAAAGCUGUGUGUAUAAACAUAUAUAUAUAUAUACAUACAUAUAUAUCAAAAUCUUCAUCAGAAUACAUUAUAAAGGUCUAGUUAGAGAAAUAAAGUAAAAAUGUACUGUAAAAGAGAAAACAAAAAACAUACAAUAACAAUAAAUGGAGAAAUGUGUGUGUGUGUGUGUACUGUCACUGUAUCCUUUUUGGUUUUGAAUUGCAUCUCUCUCUCUCUGUAUAUAUAUAUAUAUAUAUAUAUAUAUAUAUAUAUAUAUAUAAUAGAAAUAUGUUACAAAAACAAAAUAGAAACUACACGUGGAAAUGUAAGGGUAAAGUAAGAAGAAAAAUAAGCGAAAAUGCACAUUGGAAAUCAAAAGAAGUAAAGGCUUUUUAUGAAAAGUAACGAUAGAAAUAUACAAUUAGAUGAACUGAGGAAGGAAUAAAAGUAAUAAAAGUCAUUAUUGUGAAUUGUUAAAGAGAUUCAAAAGCAUACCGGUUUCGUAAUGUUACUAAUCAUUGCUUUGAGCAGAGAUUGCGGCUCGUUGAUUUUUGUUGUCACUUAAAGCAUAUGGAACCCAUGCUCCAUACUUCUGAACCUUUCCCAUCGAGUGAAGAUACUUCUCUAUAGCAGUGUGGGAGCAUUCCAUUUUCUCUGCCAGUUCCCUUGUCGUUUGAUGAGAAUUUUUGUGCAAAAGUUGGUUUAAUGCUCUUCAUCAAACUCAACUAGAUGGCCAGAACAAGGUUCGUCUUUGUGGUCAAAAUUUACAUUUUUGAACUUGGCAAACCAAUCACGAGUCAUUCUUUCAGCUAUGGCACCCUCUCCAAACACAGCACAAAUGUCGCGAGCAGCUUUUACAGCCUUAGAGCCUUGAUUAAAAGCAAAAUGGAGGUGUUGAAAAUGCACGUUGACAUUCCAUUUUAAUGAUCUAAAAAUAAACAAAAAUUAACUAGAAAUAAAACAAAAUAAAUUCCAAAAUGAUUCAAAAAUAGAAUUCUUGAAAAAUAUAGUUUCCAAAAUUUUUUUAAAAUGCGGGAACUUAGUUGCCAAUCCAAUAUGUGUGUGUAUGUGUAUGAAAUGACCACUGAAAAGGGCUUUGCAUUAGGAAGGGCCAGUGAAGUUUUGUAGUCACUCUUCCUUCUCUUCUUUCUAAAUAAAAAUAGAAGUACUCAACACAAAUCUAUGAUUAACAAAAUGUUUACACAACUGGGGGAGGGAAAGGUAGAGAGAAAUGAUGAAGAGGAGGAGAGAGACAACGAUGAUGAUGCAAGAAUAGAGAGAGACUAAUGUGAUUUGUUAAGUGGAAAAUUCCUGGACAUUCCUUGUAAAUCUCAGUAUCCGUUUCCCACUGGUUACUCACAUUCAAUUUUUCCGUUUUGCAUGUCUUCCAUAUUGACAAUUAGUUUAAAUAUACACUAAUGGCUGUGUGGUUAAGUAGCACAAGUAGAUCGUUUCCCAGCCGCAUAAUUUCAGAUUCAAUCUCCAGGUUCAGUCUCACUGCUUGGCACCUUGGGUAAGUGUCUUUUACUGCAGCCUCAGUUUGAUGAAUGGCUGUGUGGUAAGAUGCUCGCUUCCAAACCACAUGGUUCCAGAUUCAGUCCCACUGUGUGGCACCUUGGGCAAGUGUCUUCUACUAUAGCCUUGGGCUGACAAAACCUUGCAAGUAGAUUUGCUAGACUGAAACUGAAAGAAGCUUGUCAAUUAUAUAUUAAUUGUUUAUAAUUUUCACCUUAAAAGGUAUUUUUAUAUGCUGACCACAGAGUGUCAUGUUCGUUGAUGCUACCCCUGGCAGCAAAGUAGCACACCUUUUUAGAAAAACAUUAAGUAAGGCUAAUCUACAAAUUAAAGUAGUGGAGAGGCCUGGUGCCCCUUUAAAAUCCCUGAUCUGAAAUACCUAUCUCAUUGAUAAGUCCACCUGUACAGAGUGCAAUUGUGUUAUAUGUAGGAUGACAUAAUUAUGGUUUCGAAAUAUAACCUGCCCAAAAAUUGUCAUGGAAAGACACGCACCCUAGAAGCAACGAAUAUUCUAGACAAGAAACAUAACUCGUCUUUAUUAUAUUAAGUUAUGUCCCUUGAUUUAGCUGGACUCAUUUCAGUUGUAUCUUAGUGUUACUAGUUCAAAGGGACACCACCAUAUAGAAUUAGUGCAAAUCUAACGCUAUAAUGACUAUGGGAGAUGAAUUCAAUAAUGCAUGCUAACAAAGUACUUUUGUUAAUGUAUUUGCCUUAAGACUGUUGACUGCUAAUAGAUCCUGGCAUAGAUUUCCUUAUUCACUCAAAUCUUUUUCAUCAAUCAACGAGUGACAAUAUGGUUUAUUCACCAGCUGAGAAAACUAAAGAAUAUCUUGCAAACGUUAAAUUAUCAUCACAUCAGACGGUGGUUUUAUACAAAAUAUUGACUCCUAAAACCACCAUGUGCCCAAUGAUAAACAGGAAUUUGUUGUGGAAUAAGUGAAAACUGCCAUCAUAGAUGACUGGACAAUGUCAGUCAAGAAUCUAAAUUAUCAGUUGGUAAUAAAUAUAAACAAUCUCAUGUGAGUAACGCAAGGGUCACACAUGGAUACCCAAAGCAAUUUAUGGCUCAAGAUGAAGCUAUAAAUCCAUCACAAUGAAAGCUUAAGAAAGCACAACCAUUCAGUGGAAGUUCACUGUACAUACAUUCCCUUCACAAGUGCCAGUGCCUGGAAAAGCACCAGUAAUCACUGUAAAGUGGUUCCUGUUAAGAAACGAAACCAUGUCACUUAUGAUAAUUAGGCUACUUCUGGAUCUCUGAUUAGCCCAAUAAUGUAGCAUUAACAAAGACAGAUGCAUCUAGAGCAGUCAUAGCUUGGUAUUUUUUACAAUAACUCUAGACCAGAGGUUCUGAAACUUUUGGGGCACUGUCCCCAUCAUAGCGACAUA